CAGCAGUGAGGAAGGCAGGUACGUUAAUAGCGUGCUUGUUUGACGUUAGCUGCAGAAGAAGCACCGGCUAACUCCGUGCCAGCAGCCGCGGUAAUACGGAGGGUGCGAGCGUUAAUCGGAAUUACUGGGCGUAAAAGCGCAUGCAGGUGGUUUGUUAAGUCAGAUGUGAAAAGCCCGGGCUCAAACCUCGGAAAUUGCAUUUGAAAACUGGCAGACUAGAGUACUGUAGAGGGGGUAGAAUUUCAGGUGUAGCGGUGAAAAUGCGUAGAGAUCUGAAGGAAUACCGGUGGCGAAGGCGGCCCCUGGACAGAUACUGACACUCAGAUGCGAAAGCGUGGGGAGCAAACAGGAUUAGAUACCCUGGUAG
This 367-nucleotide ribosomal RNA is filed under the name uncultured bacterium. RNAcentral describes it as "bacterial SSU rRNA". It matches the Rfam family "Bacterial small subunit ribosomal RNA", at positions 434 to 793 of the family's 1533-position model. The record is from RNAcentral.